Molecule: ribosomal RNA, 253 nt
Filed under: uncultured bacterium
Lineage: Bacteria
Description: partial 16S ribosomal RNA
Rfam family: Bacterial small subunit ribosomal RNA
Source: RNAcentral
UACGUAGGGGGCAAGCGUUGUCCGGAAUCAUUGGGCGUAAAGCGCGUGUAGGCGGCCAGGUAAGUCCGUUCUGAAAGCCCGGGGCUCAACCCCGGGAGGCGGAUGGAUACUGCUUGGCUCGAGUCCGGAAGAGGCGAGUGGAAUUCCCGGUGUAGCGGUGAAAUGCGCAGAUAUCGGGAGGAACACCAAUGGCGAAGGCGACUACCUGGCCUGUUCUUGACGCUGAGGCGCGAAAGCUAGGGGAGCAAACGGG